This 708-nucleotide ribosomal RNA is filed under the name Parmotrema andinum. RNAcentral's name for it is "partial 28S ribosomal RNA". It matches the Rfam family "Eukaryotic large subunit ribosomal RNA", at positions 84 to 817 of the family's 3401-position model. Lineage: Eukaryota; Fungi; Ascomycota; Lecanoromycetes; Lecanorales; Parmeliaceae. The record is from RNAcentral.
UAACGGCGUGAAGCGGCAACAGAAAUUUGAAAUCCCCCCUUUGGGGUCCGAGUUGUAAUUUGUAGAGAGUGCGGGGGAGACCGCGAUCUAAGUCCCUUGGAACAUGGUGUCAUAGAGGGUGAGAAUCCCGUAUGUGACCGCGGCUCGAACCCAUGUGAAGCCUCUUCGACGAGUCGAGUUGUUUGGGAAUGCAGCUCAAAAUGGGUGGUAAAUUUCAUCUAAAGCUAAAUACUGGCUGGAGACCGAUAGCGCACAAGUAGAGUGAUCGAAAGAUGAAAAGCACUUUGGAAAGAGAGUUAAACAGUACGUGAAAUUGUUGAAAGGGAAGCGCUUGCAACCAGACCUGCCCGUAGGCGAUCAGCCGCUGUUCUCAGCGGUGCACUCGCUCUGCGAUCAGGCCAGCAUCGGUUUCGGCGGUCGGAUAAAGGCCUUGGGAAUGUAGCUUCCUUUCGGGGGAGUGUUAUAGCCCUCGGUGCAAUGCGGCCAGCCGGGACCGAGGACCGCGCUUCGGCUAGGAUGCUGGCGUAAUGGUUGUCAGCGACCCGUCUUGAAACACGGACCAAGGAGUCUAACAUCUAUGCGAGUGUUUGGGUGUCAAACCCAUGCGCGGAAUGAAAGUGAACGGAUGUGAGAACCCUUAAGGGCGCAUCAUCGACCGAUCCAGAUGUCUUCGGAUGGAUUUGAGUAUGAGCAUAGCCGGUGGGACCC